AAUCAUUCAUCGGAGUUCAACUCCACCGACGUUGACGACAUGAAAAAUUUCCUGUCUUCAAUGGCUAUGAUAACGCCAAGUCACAGAGAAAAAGUGGAAAUGGAAAUACACGGCGAACAAGUCUACGUCAACCCAAUGACCGUCGACGAUCUCGAAUCAGAAUACACGUUUGUGAAUUGGACGGUGUUGCUAUCCGAGGCGCUGUCCGCAAACGUCAGCAGUUCGGACAUUGUAUACGUACCGUUUCCCGGCUACCUGGAUGACCUGGAUAUGAAGAUUGAGCUUCUUCCGGCGCACACCAUACACAACGGCCUACUUUUGAUGUACAGGUGCGUGUGUCAGCCCAAUGACCCCAUCUUAUAGGGAGUGCGUCACCUUUUAGAACGAAAUUUUACUUAACUCGUCUCAAGUUAGCAUGAAUAGAUACAUAAG
Molecule: long non-coding RNA, 432 nt
Organism: Pollicipes pollicipes
Lineage: Eukaryota; Metazoa; Arthropoda; Thecostraca; Pollicipedomorpha; Pollicipedidae
Exons: 3
Source: RefSeq, a predicted model, not a curated record